Molecule: ribosomal RNA, 449 nt
Filed under: uncultured bacterium
Lineage: Bacteria
Description: bacterial SSU rRNA
Rfam family: Bacterial small subunit ribosomal RNA
Source: RNAcentral
UGGGGAAUAUUGCGCAAUGGGGGAAACCCUGACGCAGCGACGCCGCGUGUGGGAUGAAGGUCUUCGGAUUGUAAACCACUGUCGCGAGGGACGAAGCUCUGACGGUACCUCGAAAGGAAGCACCGGCUAACUCUGUGCCAGCAGCCGCGGUAAUACAGAGGGUGCGAGCGUUGUCCGGAAUCACUGGGCGUAAAGGGCGCGUAGGCGGCCCGGUAAGUAGGGGGUGAAAUCUCAUGGCUCAACUGUGAGGCUGCCUUCUAGACUGCCAGGCUUGAGCACAGUAGAGGCGAGUGGAAUUCCCGGUGUAGCGGUGGAAUGCGUAGAGAUCGGGAAGAACAUCGGUGACGAAGGCGGCUCGCUGGGCUGUUGCUGACGCUGAGGCGCGAAAGCGUGGGGAGCAAACAGGAUUAGAUACCCCCGUAGUCCCUGAGCGGGCUGGCAAGGCGCAU